UACGUAGGGGGCAAGCGUUGUCCGGAUUUAUUGGGCGUAAAGGGCGCGCAGGCGGUUCGUUAGGUCCGAGGUGAAAUCUCCCGGCUCAACUGGGAGGGGUCUUCGGAUACCGGCGGGCUUGAGGUGAGCAGAGGUGAGCGGAAUUCUGGGUGUAGUGGUGAAAUGCGUAGAUAUCCAGAGGAACACCAGUGGCGAAGGCGGCUCACUGGGCUCCACCUGACGCUGAGGCGCGAAAGCGUGGGGAGCGAACCGG
Molecule: ribosomal RNA, 253 nt
Filed under: uncultured bacterium
Lineage: Bacteria
Description: partial 16S ribosomal RNA
Rfam family: Bacterial small subunit ribosomal RNA
Source: RNAcentral